RNAcentral lists this ribosomal RNA (253 nucleotides) under uncultured prokaryote. RNAcentral's name for it is "partial 16S ribosomal RNA". It matches the Rfam family "Bacterial small subunit ribosomal RNA", at positions 524 to 776 of the family's 1533-position model. The record is from RNAcentral.
UACAGAGGUGGCAAACGUUGUCCGGAUUUAUUGGGUGUAAAGGGCAUGUAGGUGGUUUUGUAAGUCAAAGGUGAAAUGGCCCGGCUCAACCAGGUCAUUGCCUUUGAAACUGCAGAGCUUGAGUACGGAAGAGGAAAGCGGAAUUCCCAGUGUAGCGGUGAAAUGCGUAGAUAUUGGGAGGAACACCGGUGGCGAAGGCGGCUUUCUGGUCCGAAACUGACACUGAGAUGCGAAAGCCAGGGGAGCAAACGGG